GACGAACGCUGGCGGCGUGCUUAACACAUGCAAGUCGAACGAAGAGCGAUGGAAGCUUGCUUCUAUCAAUCUUAGUGGCGAACGGGUGAGUAACGCGUAAUCAACCUGCCCUUCAGAGGGGGACAACAGUUGGAAACGACUGCUAAUACCGCAUACGAUCUAAUCUCGGCAUCGAGGAAAGAUGAAAGGUGGCCUCUAUUUAUAAGCUAUCACUGAAGGAGGGGAUUGCGUCUGAUUAGCUAGUUGGAGGGGUAACGGCCCACCAAGGCGAUGAUCAGUAGCCGGUCUGAGAGGAUGAACGGCCACAUUGGGACUGAGACACGGCCCAGACUCCUACGGGAGGCAGCAGUGGGGAAUCUUCCGCAAUGGACGAAAGUCUGACGGAGCAACGCCGCGUGAGUGAUGACGGCCUUCGGGUUGUAAAGCUCUGUUAAUCGGGACGAAAGGCCUUCUUGCGAACAGUUAGAAGGAUU
This 473-nucleotide ribosomal RNA is filed under the name Veillonella dispar. Its description in RNAcentral is "bacterial SSU rRNA". It matches the Rfam family "Bacterial small subunit ribosomal RNA", at positions 28 to 477 of the family's 1533-position model. The record is from RNAcentral. Lineage: Bacteria; Bacillati; Bacillota; Negativicutes; Veillonellales; Veillonellaceae.